GCCGCGGUAGCUCAGUCGGUAGAGCAGAGGACUGAAAAUCCUCGUGUCGGGGGUUCGAUUCCCUCCUGCGGCACCA
RNAcentral lists this transfer RNA (76 nucleotides) under Thermaerobacter sp. Its description in RNAcentral is "tRNA-Phe". It matches the Rfam family "tRNA". Rfam says of the family: Transfer RNA (tRNA) molecules are approximately 80 nucleotides in length. Their secondary structure includes four short double-helical elements and three loops (D, anti-codon, and T loops). Further hydrogen bonds mediate the characteristic L-shaped molecular structure. tRNAs have two regions of fundamental functional importance: the anti-codon, which is responsible for specific mRNA codon recognition, and the 3' end, to which the tRNAs corresponding amino acid is attached (by aminoacyl-tRNA synthetases). tRNAs cope with the degeneracy of the genetic code in two manners: having more than one tRNA (with a specific anti-codon) for a particular amino acid; and 'wobble' base-pairing, i.e. permitting non-standard base-pairing at the 3rd anti-codon position. Lineage: Bacteria; Bacillati; Bacillota; Clostridia; Eubacteriales; Clostridiales Family XVII. Incertae Sedis. The record is from RNAcentral.